Molecule: unclassified non-coding RNA, 430 nt
Filed under: Hevea brasiliensis (rubber tree)
Lineage: Eukaryota; Viridiplantae; Streptophyta; Magnoliopsida; Malpighiales; Euphorbiaceae
Source: RNAcentral
GAAAAAAAAAAUAUUGGAUUUUGUUGUGAUGCAAUAUUUUACCCCUACUUUCAUCACUUGUUUUCUUAACAAAUCUUCCUAGCCUGUGCUUGCAUUUAUGUGUAACUAUUUUUGGAUUGUUGAAGACUCCUAUAUUGUUGAGUUGCUCAUCAAAUAAUGCAUUGAUUCUAUUAAAAUUACUAGAUUUGAGUAAUUGUUCCAAACUUGAAGUUAUUCUAGCAAAUGUCUUAUUAUAGUUGAUAUUGUUAGAAGCAUUUUAUAUGAUUAACAACUCUAUUCGCAUGGUAUAUGAUUAACAAAUGUAUAAAAAUAUUCAUGGGAGAUGAAUGGGGCUGGCAUGGAAAGUAUGAAACCUUAAAAAAAUCAUGCAUUUAUUUAGAGCACGGGAUUAAAGUGCUGUUGAGGGAGAUUGAAGUUCUAUAUUUAGAUU